AACCUAGCACACCUGCGGUGUGUACCUGCGGAGGGAUCAUUACUGAGUUUACCGCUCUAUAACCCUUUGUGAACAUACCUUACUGUUGCUUCGGCGGGCAGGACGGCGGCCUCGGCCCCGGCCUCCCGGCCUCCGCCCCCUCUGCGGGGCGGCGGGCGCCCGCCGGAGGAUAACCAAACUCUGUUUUAACGUCGUCUCUUCUGAGUGGCACAAGCAAAUAAAUAAAAACUUUCAACAACG
Molecule: unclassified non-coding RNA, 240 nt
Filed under: soil metagenome
Description: partial contains 5.8S ribosomal RNA, internal transcribed spacer 2, and large subunit ribosomal RNA
Source: RNAcentral